GAAACGCGAUAGUUAAUGUGAAUUGCAGAAUUCAAUGAAUCAUCGAGUCUUUGAACGCACAUUGCGCCCAUAGGUAUUCCUUUGGGCAUGUCUGUUUGAGCGUCAUUACAACCCUCAGCUAACCGCUGGUUUUGAACCUGAACGGGUGACACCGCGCCGGUUUUAAAGUUGUAAGCUCUGCUGGCCGCUCUGCCCAACCAGAACAUAGUAAGCACUACUUGUCCGGGUGAAGCUGAACGGUACGGCCUGAACAAAACCUACCCACUCUCAAGGUUUGACCUCAGAUCAGACAAGGAUACCCGCUGAACUUAAGC
This 314-nucleotide unclassified non-coding RNA is filed under the name plant metagenome. Its description in RNAcentral is "partial contains 5.8S ribosomal RNA, internal transcribed spacer 2, and large subunit ribosomal RNA". The stretch from base 1 to 105 matches the Rfam family "5.8S ribosomal RNA", at positions 50 to 154 of the family's 154-position model. The record is from RNAcentral.